This 523-nucleotide ribosomal RNA is filed under the name uncultured bacterium. Its description in RNAcentral is "bacterial SSU rRNA". It matches the Rfam family "Bacterial small subunit ribosomal RNA", at positions 791 to 1320 of the family's 1533-position model. The record is from RNAcentral.
UAGUCCACGCCGUAAACGAUGGUUACUAGCUGUUUGGUUUUCGGACUGAGUGGCUAAGCGAAAGUGAUAAGUAACCCACCUGGGGAGUACGUUCGCAAGAAUGAAACUCAAAGGAAUUGACGGGGGCCCGCACAAGCGGUGGAGCAUGUGGUUUAAUUCGAUGAUACGCGAGGAACCUUACCAGGGCUUAAAUGUAGAUUGACAGGUUUAGAGAUAGACUUUUCUUCGGACAAUUUACAAGGUGCUGCAUGGUUGUCGUCAGCUCGUGCCGUGAGGUGUCAGGUUAAGUCCUAUAACGAGCGCAACCCCUGUUGUUAGUUGCCAGUGAGUAAUGUCGGGAACUCUAACAAGACUGCCGGUGCAAACCGCGAGGAAGGUGGGGAUGACGUCAAAUCAUCACGGCCCUUACGUCCUGGGCCACACACGUGCUACAAUGGUAGGGACAGAGAGCAGCCACAACGCGAGUUGGAGCGAAUCUAUAAACCCUAUCACAGUUCGGAUCGGAGUCUGCAACUCGACUCCG